CCUACGGGAGGCUGCAGUGAGGAAUAGUGGUCAAUGGGAGAGAUCCUGAACCAGCCAAGCCGCGUGAGGGAAGACGGCCCUAUGGGUUGUAAACCUCUUUUGUCGGAGAACAAAACCCGGGACGUGUCCCGGACUGCGUGUAACCGAAGAAAAAGCAUCGGCUAACGCCGUGCCAGCAGCCGCGGUAAUACGGAGGAUGCGAGCGUUAUCCGGAUUUAUUGGGUUUACAGGGUGCGUAGGCGGUCCGUUAAGUCAGCGGUACACUUGCGGGGCUCAACCCCGUCGAGCCGUUGAAACUGGCAGUCUUGAGUGCGCGCGAAGUCUGCUGUAUGCGUGGUGUCGCGGUG
This 347-nucleotide ribosomal RNA is filed under the name uncultured bacterium. RNAcentral's name for it is "partial 16S ribosomal RNA". It matches the Rfam family "Bacterial small subunit ribosomal RNA", at positions 338 to 683 of the family's 1533-position model. The record is from RNAcentral.